CUGUGAGCCAGUAAAGGGCAGCCUAGGGCACAGUGGUGGGAAGGAAUCCUUACUACCUUCUACUUGAAUGAGGAGUACACUAACUGCACGCAACGUGGAGCUGUUUAGAGAUGAGACGGGAUGUUGAUGAAAUAAAAAGGCUCACGGCCAAAAGCACAGUCGUAACUGAGCUGAUGAAAGGCUGACUUAGCACUGCUGAAAACCGACCACGGCGCAGAGUACAAAACUAAGAAGUCAUCUCAGAAAGCAGAGAAAAUAAGAGAAAGGGAGAAAAAAAAAGAGGAAACUUCAGAAAAUAGAAACACAGUGGAAAUCACAGAGAUCCAACCCAUGGAUAAAAUGUGUUGGCCAAAGGGAAGUCAAAACAUCACAUUGAUCAUAAGCAAAGGCCAGGACAUAACAGAAAAGAACUUUUGAGAUAUGAAAAAAUGACUGGCGACUAAAAGGUAAAAUGAAGGAUCAGUUCUUAGAGACCAAUGCCAAGAAGCAUCUGGCUUUUCAUUUUCACAUUUCAAGUAUUAAAAUCAGGCAAUAAAAAUAAA
This is a long non-coding RNA of Pan troglodytes (chimpanzee), 542 nucleotides long. RefSeq lists it as uncharacterized. The transcript is spliced from 2 exons. Lineage: Eukaryota; Metazoa; Chordata; Mammalia; Primates; Hominidae. The record is from RefSeq and is a predicted model, not a curated record.